This 423-nucleotide ribosomal RNA is filed under the name uncultured bacterium. RNAcentral describes it as "partial 16S ribosomal RNA". It matches the Rfam family "Bacterial small subunit ribosomal RNA", at positions 360 to 775 of the family's 1533-position model. The record is from RNAcentral.
AAUUUUGGACAAUGGGGGAAACCCUGAUCCAGCAAUCCCGCGUGUAUGAUGAAGACCUUCGGGUUGUAAAGUACUUUUGGCAGAGAAGAAAAGGUACCUCCUAACACGAGGUACUGCUGACGGUAUCUGCAGAAUAAGCACCGGCUAACUAGGUCCCAGCAGCCGCGGUAAUACGGAGGGUGCAAGCGUUAAUCGGAAUUACUGGGCGUAAAGCGUGUGUAGGCGGUUCGGAAAGAAAGAUGUGAAAUCCCAGGGCUCAACCUUGGAACUGCAUUUUUAACUGCCGUGCUAGAGUAUGUCAGAGGGGGGUAGAAUUCCACGUGUAGCAGUGACAUGCGUAGAUAUGUGGAGGAAUACCGAUGGCGAAGGCAGCCCCCUGGGAUAAUACUGACGCUCAGACACGAAAGCGUGGGGAGCAAACAG